This 119-nucleotide ribosomal RNA is filed under the name Pteropus alecto (black flying fox). Lineage: Eukaryota; Metazoa; Chordata; Mammalia; Chiroptera; Pteropodidae. The record is from RNAcentral.
GUCUACAGCCAUGCCACCCUGAACAUGACCCAUCUCAUCUGAUCUCGGACCCUAAGUAGGGUCAGGCCUGGUUAGUACUUGGAUGGGAGACCACCUAAGAAUACCAGGUGGUAUAGGUG